Molecule: ribosomal RNA, 254 nt
Filed under: uncultured bacterium
Lineage: Bacteria
Description: partial 16S ribosomal RNA
Rfam family: Bacterial small subunit ribosomal RNA
Source: RNAcentral
UACGUAGGGUGCGAGCGUUGUCCGGAAUUAUUGGGCGUAAAGGGCUCGUAGGCGGUUUGUCGCGUCGACUGUGAAAACCCAUGGCUCAACCAUGUGGUCUGCAGUCGAUACGGGCAGGCUAGAAUUCGGUAGGGGAGACUGGAAUUCCUGGUGUAGCGGUGAAAUGCGCAGAUAUCAGGAGGAACACCGGUGGCGAAGGCGGGUCUCUGGGCCGAUAUUGACGCUGAGGAGCGAAAGCGUGGGGAGCGAACAGG